This is a long non-coding RNA of Xenopus tropicalis (tropical clawed frog), 223 nucleotides long. RefSeq lists it as uncharacterized. The transcript is spliced from 3 exons. Lineage: Eukaryota; Metazoa; Chordata; Amphibia; Anura; Pipidae. The record is from RefSeq and is a predicted model, not a curated record.
GCUGUUGGCACAGGUAGGGUGCAGGUAGGGUGCUGUUGGCACAGGUAGGAUGCUGUUGGCACAGGUAGGAUGCAGUUGGCACAGGUAGGAUGCUGUUGGCACAGGUAGGAUGCAGUUGGCACAGGUAGGGUGUAGGUAGGGUGCUGUUGGCACAGGUAGGGUGCAGGUAGGGUGCUGUUGGCACAGGUAGGAUGCUGUUGGCACAGGUAGGAUGCAGUUGGCA